This 315-nucleotide ribosomal RNA is filed under the name uncultured prokaryote. RNAcentral describes it as "partial 16S ribosomal RNA". The record is from RNAcentral.
CCCUAUGGGGUGCAGCGGCUGUGGGGCUAUUAUUUCGACGGAACCAACAAGGCCAAUUACACUCUUGUGGUCAAAAAGGAGAUGAACCAUACUCCUGGAGCCAUCUCCGUGGGAAACGGGGUCGCACGGAACCUCCUGGUAAAAGAGAAUGGGAUCAUCCCCUUCAAAGCCUAUGACGGUUCCUACCUUUUUCUCAAAAUCAAAGAUGUCUUUCCUUCCGAAUCCGAGCUGGUCUCGUCCGACCUGAUUUUGAUUUCCGAACAGGAUUUCAGGAAAAUUUUUGCCUUUCCCCCCGACGUUGCAACGGACCUGGUG